This 380-nucleotide ribosomal RNA is filed under the name uncultured eukaryote. RNAcentral describes it as "partial 18S ribosomal RNA". It matches the Rfam family "Eukaryotic small subunit ribosomal RNA", at positions 592 to 976 of the family's 1831-position model. The record is from RNAcentral.
CAAUAGCGUAUAUUAAAGUUGUUGCGGUUAAAAAGCUCGUAGUUGGAUUUCUGCUGAGAACGACCGGUCCGCCCUUUGGGUGUGUAUCUGGCUCUUUCUUGGCAUCUUCUUGGUGGACGUUGCUGCACUUGACUGUGUGGAGCGCUACCCAGGACUUUUACUUUGAGGAAAUUAGAGUGUUUCAAGCAGGCAUACGCCUUGAAUACAUUAGCAUGGAAUAAUAAGAUAGGACCUCGGUUCUAUUUUGUUGGUUUCUAGAGCUGAGGUAAUGAUUAAUAGGGAUAGUUGGGGGCAUUCGUAUUUAACUGUCAGAGGUGAAAUUCUCGGAUUUGUUAAAGACGGACUACUGCGAAAGCAUUUGCCAAGGAUGUUUUCAUUGA